GUCGAGGUGGCCCAGCCUGGUACGGCGGUGGACUGCUAAUCCACUGGUCUUUCGACCACCCGGGUUCGAAUCCCGGCCUCGGCG
RNAcentral lists this transfer RNA (84 nucleotides) under Methanobacteriaceae archaeon. It matches the Rfam family "tRNA". Rfam says of the family: Transfer RNA (tRNA) molecules are approximately 80 nucleotides in length. Their secondary structure includes four short double-helical elements and three loops (D, anti-codon, and T loops). Further hydrogen bonds mediate the characteristic L-shaped molecular structure. tRNAs have two regions of fundamental functional importance: the anti-codon, which is responsible for specific mRNA codon recognition, and the 3' end, to which the tRNAs corresponding amino acid is attached (by aminoacyl-tRNA synthetases). tRNAs cope with the degeneracy of the genetic code in two manners: having more than one tRNA (with a specific anti-codon) for a particular amino acid; and 'wobble' base-pairing, i.e. permitting non-standard base-pairing at the 3rd anti-codon position. Lineage: Archaea; Methanobacteriati; Methanobacteriota; Methanobacteria; Methanobacteriales; Methanobacteriaceae. The record is from Rfam by way of RNAcentral.